This 557-nucleotide long non-coding RNA is filed under the name Olea europaea subsp. europaea. Lineage: Eukaryota; Viridiplantae; Streptophyta; Magnoliopsida; Lamiales; Oleaceae. The record is from RNAcentral.
AUUGCAAGCCACCGCAGGUUCUCUUCUUGUGGCUUGCUUGUCCAAACUUAUUGCACUUCAUCUUCAACCCUACCCUGCUUGCAUUUCCUGUUGAUGCCCCUGCACUGCUUGAAGAUGCCUUUACAUUGCUUGAUGAACCCCUACCUUCAUGUUCAUUAGCUUCCUUUCGUCUAGCCUUUUUUGGUCUCCUCGCCUUUCUGGAGUAGAAAGGUGGUUUCAAGGGGUCAAGACCUGGGUUAGGGAAUAAGUCUAGACUUGUUAUGGGUGAGAUAGACGGUGUAUAUGUUCUAAUGUUUGGCUUAUCAAAUAAACUCCCACCAUGGUGGACCUCCAUUAUGAAAUAAUCUGUAUUAGGACCUGUAUGAACAUGGUAAUGACAUCCAAUUACGUAUGUAUUUUCUGCAAUAUAAUUAUUUGCAUACGGAUUACAGGCCCCUUAUCAAAAGAGGGGGGGGGGGGAACAACUAACUGGAAUCAGGUGCCUUCUCUUAAUAAAGUCUGAAUCUUGGAUAUUGCAUUUCUAUAUGGAUGAGAUAUUAAAGAAAGCUCAAUAAAAG